RNAcentral lists this ribosomal RNA (440 nucleotides) under uncultured bacterium. RNAcentral describes it as "partial 16S ribosomal RNA". It matches the Rfam family "Bacterial small subunit ribosomal RNA", at positions 338 to 795 of the family's 1533-position model. The record is from RNAcentral.
CCUACGGGCGGCAGCAGUGGGGAAUAUUGCACAAUGGGGGAAACCCUGAUGCAGCGACGCCGCGUGAGUGAAGAAGUAAUUCGUUCUGUCAAGCUCUAUCAGCAGGGAAGAAAAUGACGGUACCUGAGUAAGAAGCCCCGGCUAACUACGUGCCAGCAGCCGCGGUAAUAAGUAGGGGGCAAGCGUUAGCCGGAUUUACUGGGUGUAAAGGGAGCGUAGACGGCAGUGCAAGUCUGGAGUGAAAGGCGGGGGCUCAACCCCCGGACUGCUCUGGAAACUGUACGGCUGGAGUGCAGGAGAGGGAAGUGGAAGUCGUAGGGUAGCGGUGAAAUGCGGAGAUAGUAGGAGGAACACCAGUGGCGAAGGCGGCUUACUGGACUGUAACUGACGUUGAGGCUCGAAAGCGUGGGGAGCAAACAGGAUUAGAUACCCUUGUAGUC